Molecule: small nuclear RNA, 77 nt
Filed under: Homo sapiens (human)
Lineage: Eukaryota; Metazoa; Chordata; Mammalia; Primates; Hominidae
Description: partial ncRNA
Source: RNAcentral
AGAUUGUGUGAGUCCAGGAAUUGGAGGCUGCAGUGAGCUAUAAUUGUGCCAACUGUACUCCAGCCUGGGCAACAGUU